ACAAUGGCGUAAACAAAGGGAGGCGAAGGAGUAAUCCGGAGCGAACCCCAAAAAUAACGUCUCAGUUCGGACUGUGGUCUGCAACCCGACCACACGAAGCUGGAAUCGCUAGUAAUCGCGAAUCAGAAUGUCGCGGUGAAUACGUUCCCGGGUCUUGUACACACCGCCCGUCACACCAUGGGAGUCAGCAACGCCCGAAGUCAGUGACCUAACCGAAAGGGAGGAGCUGCCGAAGGCGGGGCCGGUAACUGGGGUGAAGUCGUAACAAGGUAGC
RNAcentral lists this ribosomal RNA (274 nucleotides) under uncultured bacterium. RNAcentral's name for it is "partial 16S ribosomal RNA". It matches the Rfam family "Bacterial small subunit ribosomal RNA", at positions 1227 to 1500 of the family's 1533-position model. The record is from RNAcentral.